Molecule: non-coding RNA, 30 nt
Filed under: Homo sapiens (human)
Lineage: Eukaryota; Metazoa; Chordata; Mammalia; Primates; Hominidae
Source: RNAcentral
UCCACUAAACACACUGUGCAUGCUCCCCUC